This 94-nucleotide transfer RNA is filed under the name Synergistaceae bacterium. RNAcentral describes it as "tRNA-Ser". It matches the Rfam family "tRNA". From Rfam's summary of the family: Transfer RNA (tRNA) molecules are approximately 80 nucleotides in length. Lineage: Bacteria; Thermotogati; Synergistota; Synergistia; Synergistales; Synergistaceae. The record is from RNAcentral.
GGAGAGAUGUCCGAGUGGUCGAAGGAGCUCGCCUGGAAAGUGAGUGAGGGGACGCAAAUCUUCUCCUAGGGUUCAAAUCCCUAUCUCUCCGCCA